This is a long non-coding RNA of Scleropages formosus (Asian bonytongue), 185 nucleotides long. RefSeq lists it as uncharacterized. The transcript is spliced from 3 exons. Lineage: Eukaryota; Metazoa; Chordata; Actinopteri; Osteoglossiformes; Osteoglossidae. The record is from RefSeq and is a predicted model, not a curated record.
GCAUGGUUCUCACGCCUGUGCAGAGUGGAGAGGCCAGAUGAGUCGACACCCCUCCGUCUGUGCAAAUUCUGUCAGUGACUCUGUGACAGGUCAAUCAACACCUGAGUGACAAAGAGAAGAAUGUGGAUGCACAGGAAUCAACUCCAAAGCAAUUGGACACUAAGGGGGCGCAGUGGGUUGGACCA